GCUGGGGGAUCGUCUGAACAAGGCCUGCGCUUAAUUGCGCGGCCAGUUCUUGAUUCUCUGCUAUCAGUUUUCUAUUUCUCAUCCUAAACACAAUGGAGUUUUUUCUCUAUGAACUACUUCCCUGGAGAGCUCGUCUCUCCAGUGGACAUAAACACAAACAAUAUUUUGUAUUAUGAAAAACUAUUAUUAUACUAUAAAAUUUAAUAUUCAAAACUUUCAACAACGGAUCUCUUGGUUCUCGCAUCGAUGAAGAACGCAGCGAAUUGCGAUAUGUAUUGUGAAUUGCAGAUUUUCGUGAAUCAUCAAAUCUUUGAACGCACAUUGCGCCCUCUGGUAUUCCAGGGGGCAUGCCUGUUUGAGCGUCAUUUCUCUCUCAAACCUUUGGGUUUGGUAGUGAGUGAUACUCGUCUCGGGUUAACUUGAAAGUGGCUAGCCGUUGCCAUCUGCGUGAGCAGGGCUGCGUGUCAAGUCUAUGGACUCGACUCUUGCACAUCUACGUCUUAGGUUUGCGCCAAUUCGUGGUAAGCUUGGGUCAUAGAGACUCAUAGGUGUUAUAAAGACUCGCUGGUGUUUGUCUCCUUGAGGCAUACGGCUUUAACCAAAACUCUCAAAGUUUGACCUCAAAUCAGGUAGGAGUACCCGCUGAACUUAAGCAUAUCAAUAAGCGGAGGAA
This 673-nucleotide ribosomal RNA is filed under the name Kluyveromyces marxianus. Its description in RNAcentral is "eukaryotic LSU rRNA". The stretch from base 212 to 365 matches the Rfam family "5.8S ribosomal RNA". Lineage: Eukaryota; Fungi; Ascomycota; Saccharomycetes; Saccharomycetales; Saccharomycetaceae. The record is from RNAcentral.